Long non-coding RNA from Pan paniscus (pygmy chimpanzee), 306 nucleotides. Lineage: Eukaryota; Metazoa; Chordata; Mammalia; Primates; Hominidae. The record is from Ensembl.
AGCCGACCUAGAUUUCCUGAGAACACCCUCUGUGUGCUGGUUUGCCUGGCUGCUCCUUCCUCCAGUUUCAGAGCUCCUUGUUCAUCAAACGUACCUACCUGCUUACUCUGAAUUUUCUCCCCCCAGUUCAGUACUUUUCGGAGAACUAGGUUACAGCAUCAUCAGACCACAUAUGAGGCCAGAGGGUGACCUGUGUUAAGUCUGAGGUGUAUGGUAAUAACAGUUGCCGUCUACUGAGGACGUUAGUAUUUCUUCGCAGCAAUGCAAGAACGGCCUAAUACACCUGCCACGUAACAAAGACUAAAU